UAAUGUCUGGGAAACUGCCUGAUGGAGGGGGAGUAACUACUGGAAACGGUAGCUAAUACCGCAUAACGUCGCAAGACCAAAGAGGGGGACCUCGGGCCUCUUGCCAUCGGAUGUGCCCAGAUGGGAUUAGCUAGUAGGUGGGGUAACGGCUCACCUAGGCGACGAUCCCUAGCUGGUCUGAGAGGAUGACCAGCCACACUGGAACUGAGACACGGUCCAAACUCCUACGGGAGGCAGCAUG
RNAcentral lists this ribosomal RNA (241 nucleotides) under uncultured bacterium. RNAcentral's name for it is "partial 16S ribosomal RNA". It matches the Rfam family "Bacterial small subunit ribosomal RNA", at positions 111 to 353 of the family's 1533-position model. The record is from RNAcentral.